CCGGCACGGGUGAGUAACGCGUAUGCAACUUGCCUAUCAGGAGGGGAUAACCCGGCGAAAGUCGGACUAAUACCGCAUGAAGCAGGGGCCCCGCAUGGGGAUAUUUGCUAAAGAUUCAUCGCUGAUAGAUAGGCAUGCGUUCCAUUAGGCAGUUGGCGGGGUAACGGCCCACCAAACCGACGAUGGAUAGGGGUUCUGAGAGGAAGGUCCCCCACAUUGGAACUGAGACACGGUCCAA
This 238-nucleotide ribosomal RNA is filed under the name uncultured bacterium. RNAcentral describes it as "partial 16S ribosomal RNA". It matches the Rfam family "Bacterial small subunit ribosomal RNA", at positions 100 to 334 of the family's 1533-position model. The record is from RNAcentral.